AAUAUUGCGCAAUGGAGGGAACUCUGACGCAGCGACGCCGCGUGAGCGAUGAAGGUUUUCGGAUCGUAAAGCCCGUUCCUUGGGGAAGAAGGCGGCCAUAUUUGGCCACUUGACUGUACCCAAGGAGGAAGCCACGGCUAAACACGUGCACGCAGCCGGGGUAAUAAGUAGGGGGCAAGCGUUGUCCGGAAUUAUUGGGGGUAAAGGGUGCGUAGGCGGCCUUUUAAGUCAGAUGUGAAAGCCCACGGCUUAACCGUGGGGUUGCAUGUGAAACUGGAGGGCUUGAGUAUCGGAGAGGGUAGUGGAAUUCCCAGUGUAGCGGUGGAAUGCGUAGAUAUUGGGAGGAACACCAGUGGCGAAGGCGACUACCUGGACGAAAACUGACGCUGAGGCACGAAAGCUAGGGGAGCAAACA
Molecule: ribosomal RNA, 415 nt
Filed under: uncultured bacterium
Lineage: Bacteria
Description: partial 16S ribosomal RNA
Rfam family: Bacterial small subunit ribosomal RNA
Source: RNAcentral